AGUGAACGCUGGCGGUAGGCCUAACACAUGCAAGUCGAACGGCAGCACAGUAAGAGCUUGCUCUUACGGGUGGCGAGUGGCGGACGGGUGAGGAAUACAUCGGAAUCUACUUUUUCGUGGGGGAUAAAGUAGGGAAAAUUACGCUAAUACCGCAUACGACCUACGGGUGAAAGCAGGGGAACUUCGGACCUUGGGCGAUUGAAUGAGCCGAUGUCGGAUUAGCUAGUUGGCGGGGUAAAGGCCCACCAAGGCGACGAUCCGUAGCUGGUCUGAGAGGAUGAUCAGCCACACUGGAACUGAGACACGGUCCAGACUCCUACGGGAGGCAGCAGUGGGGAAUAUUGGACAAUGGGCGCAAGCCUGAUCCAGCCAUACCGCGUGGGUGAAGAAGGCCUUCGGGUUGUAAAGCCCUUUUGUUGGGAAAGAAAAGCAGCAGGUUAAUACCCCGCUGUUCUGACGGUACCCAAAGAAUAAGCACCGGCUAACUUCGUG
This 492-nucleotide ribosomal RNA is filed under the name uncultured bacterium. RNAcentral's name for it is "partial 16S ribosomal RNA". It matches the Rfam family "Bacterial small subunit ribosomal RNA", at positions 29 to 507 of the family's 1533-position model. The record is from RNAcentral.